RNAcentral lists this transfer RNA (75 nucleotides) under Chloroflexi bacterium RBG_19FT_COMBO_62_14. RNAcentral describes it as "tRNA-Arg". It matches the Rfam family "tRNA". From Rfam's summary of the family: Transfer RNA (tRNA) molecules are approximately 80 nucleotides in length. Lineage: Bacteria; Bacillati; Chloroflexota. The record is from RNAcentral.
GCCCCAGUAGCUCAACAUGGACAGAGCGAGGCUCUCCUAAAGCCUAGGUUGUGGGUUCAAUUCCCGCCUGGGGCA